Molecule: non-coding RNA, 4069 nt
Organism: Caretta caretta (loggerhead turtle)
Lineage: Eukaryota; Metazoa; Chordata; Testudines; Cheloniidae
Source: RefSeq, a predicted model, not a curated record
UGAUUUUUAUAGGAUGAAGGGACAGGACGCAGCUGCCUGCCAGCAGGUGGCACAGCAGGAUCACACCCAAGGUCCUCCUGCAGCAUCAGCAACGGGAGCGGCUCCUGAGGAACCUCGAGCAGCGAGCCGGAGAGAGUUGUGCUGGGCCUCGGUUUGCCGCCCUCCAUCCCGGUGAGGAAAUGCAGGAACCGCAGCCAAUGGGAGCUGCGGGACAGCGCCUGUGGUCAGUGGCAGCAUGCAGAGCCCUGUAGCUGCCCCUCCACCGAGGAACUGGAGGGACAUGCCGGGAGCCGUCUGAGGUGUAAAGUUAGUUAAAAACAGAAAGGCAAAGAUGACAGAAACCAAGACACAACACAGAUUGGAGUGAGCCAGACUGGAGGCAGUGAAAGAGGCAGAAAAAGCCCUAGAAGCUGCCCACAGGAGAGAAAUGGAGGCAAAGGACAAGGAAAUGGAGGCAGCGAAAAAACCAAGAGGCUGCCCUCAGGAGAGCUAUGGAGGCAAGGGCCAAAGAACUGGAGGAGAAGGAAAAAGAGAGGAAGCAUGCACUGGAGAUGGAGAAGGCAAAGGCUCCACAGAAUAUACCAACAAACCCUAGCAAUUCUUCUCCAGGUACCCCUUCCCAUCCCAGAAAGUUCCCCACCUACAAGGCAGGCGAUGAUACCAAGGCCUUCUCAGAAAACUUCGAAAGGGCCUGCCUUGGGUACAGCAUCCCUACAGACCAAUACAUGGUAGAGCUGAGGCCACAGCUCAGUGGACCCUUAGCAGAGGUGGCAGCUGAAAUGCCUAAGGAACAAAUGAACCAAUAUGAACUGUUUAAAACUAAGGCGAGAGUCAGAAUGGGGCUAACACACGAGCAUUCCCGUCGGCAGUUCAGAGCCCUAAGGUGGAAACCAGAUGUCAUUUACCCGACGCACCGACCAUAUUGUGAAACAUUGGGAUGCCUGGAUAUCAGGAGCAAGUGUUAAAUCUGCAGAAGAUUUGCCCUUCCCAAUGCAAAUGGAACACUUCUUAGAGGGUGUUCCUGAGGAAAUAGAAAAAUACAUCCUAGAUGGGAAGCCCAAAACUGUAAUCGAGGCGGGGGAGAUUGGAGUCAAAUGGGUGGAGGUGGCAGAAAAGAAAAAAACUGGUCGCAGUUGGAGCAGAUACCAGAAGGGACAACCUCAGACCACACCCUACUACCGGGGGCAGCCCAAGGCCCCACCUACUGCCCAAGGAACUCUCCAGCCACCUUAUCGUCCCGCCAUACCACCUCACCCCAGUGACCCAUCCGCUGGACGAUGUUUUAAAUGUAACGAGCCGGGGCAUGUAAAGGUCAACUGCCCCAAGAACCCCAACAGAUUACAGUUCAUUGCACCGGAAUCACACCAGAGGUCCUCAGUCCCAGAUGCCUCCCAGAUACCUUCAGAGCGGAGGGAAACUGAGUGUGGGUGGGAAGAAGGUCACCGCGUGGAGGGACACCGGAGCACAAGUGUCAGCUAUCCAUGCUUCCUUAGUGGACCCAAAUUUAAUCGACCCAGAGAUCCAAGUGACGAUUCAACCCUUCAAGUCCAACUCUUUCAGUUUGCCUACAGCCAAGUUGCCUGUCCAGUACAAGGGCUGGUCAGGAAUGUGGACUUUUGCAGUCUAUUAUGAUUAUCCCAUCCCCAUGCUGUUGGGGGAAGACUUGGCCAGUCAUGUGAAGCAGGCCAAGAGGGUGGGAACGGUCACCCGCAGCCAGACUAAACAAGCCGUGAGGCCUAGCUCUGUUCCGGAAACUUCUAUCAGGACCCGGUCAGAGGUGAUGGACCCGGACCCCAGGCCAAUGUCUGCAACAGCAGUAGUGGAUCCAGUCCCAGAGACCCAGACGGAACCAGUCCUAGAACCGGAACCAGCGGAACAACCAACACCAGACCCAGUGUCAGCACCGAACCCAGUACUUGCAACCCCAACACCAGAGGGCCCCACCAAACCUGAACCGGCAGCAGCCCAUAACCCUACACAAGAGGCUCAGCCGGAGCCUGAACCCCAACAUAGUGCCCCAGCGGAGAGCGGUUCACAGUCAAUGGAAACAGCCCCAUCCCCUACAUCUCUUCCAGAGGGACCAAGCAUAGAUCCACAAUCCAAUGAGGAACUGAUGUUCCCUUGAUGCUGGAGACAGUUCCAGACUGAACAGGAAGCAGAUGAAAGCCUCCAGAGAGCUUGGACAGCGGCACAGAGCAACCCACCGCCUCUCAGCACUUCUAAUUGUUCCAAGUUUGUUGUAGAAAGAAGACUUUUAUACAAGGAAACUCUUUCUGGUGGACACCCGGAAGACUGGCAUCCUCAGAGACAGUUAGUAGUUCCAACUAAGUACCGGGCCAAGCUCUUGAGCUUAGCCCACGAUCAUCCUAGUGGCCAUGCUGGGGUGAACAGGACCAAAGACUGGUUGGGGAGGUCAUUCCACUGGGAGGGAAUGGGCAAGGAUGUUUCUACCUACGUCUGGUCUUUUGAGGUAUGCCAAAAAGUGGGGAAAACCUCAAGACCAGGUCAAAGCCCCUCUCCAGCCACUCCCCAUCAUUGAGGUUCCAUUUUAGUGUGUAGCUGUGGAUAUUCUGGGUCCUCUUGCAAAAAAGACACCCACAGGAAAGCAGUACAUACUGACUUUCAUGGAUUUUGCCACCCGAUGGCCAAAAGCAGUAGCUCUAAGCAACACCAGGGCUAAAAGUGUGUGUCAGGCACUAGCAGACAUUUUUGCCAGGGUAGGUUGGCCCUCCGUCAUCCUCACAGAUGCAGGGACUAAUUUCCUGGCAGGAACUGUGGAAAACCUUUGGGAAGCUCAUGGGGUAAAUCACUUGGUUGCCACUCCUUACCACCAUCAAACAAAUGGCAUGGUGGAGAAGUUUAAUGGGACUUUGGGGGCCAUGAUACGUAAAUUCGUAAAUGAGCACUCCAAUGAUUGGGACCUAGUGUUGCAGCAGUUGCUCUUUGCCUACAGAGCUGUACCACAUCCCAGUUUAGGGUUUUCCCCAUUUGAACUUGUAUAUGGCCGUGAGGUUAAGGGGCCAUUGCAGUUGGUGAAGCAGCAAUGGGAGGGGGUUACACCUUCUCCAGGAACUAACAUUCUGGCCUUUGUAACCAACCUACAAAACACCCUCCGAACCUCUCUAGCCCUUGCUAAAGAACCUACAGGAUGCUCAAAAAGAGCAAAAAGCCUGGUAUGAUAAACAUGCCAGAGAGCGUUCCUUCAAAGUAGGAAACCAGGUCAUGGUCUUAAAGGCGCUCCAGGCCCAUAAAACAGAAGCGUCGUGGGAAGGGCCAGGAGCGCCUGGGAGCUGUUAAUUAUCUCAUAGCAUUCCCCACCUCCAACCGAAAGCCUAAGGUGCACCAUAUUAAUUCUCUAAAGCCCUUUUAUUCCAGAGAAUUAAAGGUUUGUCAGUUUACAGCCCAGGGAGGAGAGGACACUGAGUGGCCUGAAGGUGUCUACUACGAAGGGAAAUGUGCCGGUGGUGUGGAAGAGGUGAACCUCUCCAUGACCCUUGGGCGUAUGCAGCGACAGCAGAUCCAGGAGCUGUGCACUAGCUACGUGCCGACGUUCUCAGCCACCCCAGGACUGGCUGAACGGGCAUACCACUCCCUUGACACAGAGCUCCAGGAAGAAAUCACAGCCAUCGUUUCACCCUAUCUGUGAUUUGGGGGGGCAUGUCAUAAAUACAAAGGGAAGGGUAACCACCUUUGAAAUCCCUCCUGGCCAGAGGAAAAACCCUUUCACCUGUAAAGGAUUAAGAAGCUAGGAUAACCUUGCUGACAUCUGACCACAAUGACCAAUGAGGAGACAAGAUACUUUCAAAAGCUGGCGGGAGGGAGAAACAAAGCCUCUCUCUCGGUCUGUGUGAUGCUUUUCCUGGGGACAGAACAGGAAUGGAGUCUUAGAACUUAAUAAGUAAUCUAACUAGAGAUGUGUUAGAUUCUGUUUUCUUUAAAUGGCUGAGAAAAUAAGCUGUGUUUGUGUCUUUUUGUAAAUUAAAGUUUUCCCUAGAGGGAUUCUCUAUGUUUUGAAUCUAAUUACCCUGUAAGGUAUUUACCAUCCUGAUUUUACAGAGGUGAUUCUUUU